Molecule: transfer RNA, 79 nt
Filed under: Achromobacter ruhlandii
Lineage: Bacteria; Pseudomonadati; Pseudomonadota; Betaproteobacteria; Burkholderiales; Alcaligenaceae
Description: tRNA-Ser(gct)
Source: RNAcentral
CGAGCCGCUGGUCGGCGCCGGCGUGCUGCCGGCCGCGCUGCUGGCGCGGAUCGCGCCGGUCGACGCGGCGCGGCGCGAC